This 253-nucleotide ribosomal RNA is filed under the name Faecalibacterium prausnitzii. Its description in RNAcentral is "partial 16S ribosomal RNA". It matches the Rfam family "Bacterial small subunit ribosomal RNA", at positions 524 to 776 of the family's 1533-position model. The record is from RNAcentral. Lineage: Bacteria; Bacillati; Bacillota; Clostridia; Eubacteriales; Oscillospiraceae. RNAcentral also lists the same sequence under 2 other names.
AACGUAGGUCACAAGCGUUGUCCGGAAUUACUGGGUGUAAAGGGAGCGCAGGCGGGAGAACAAGUUGGAAGUGAAAUCCAUGGGCUCAACCCAUGAACUGCUUUCAAAACUGUUUUUCUUGAGUAGUGCAGAGGUAGGCGGAAUUCCCGGUGUAGCGGUGGAAUGCGUAGAUAUCGGGAGGAACACCAGUGGCGAAGGCGGCCUACUGGGCACCAACUGACGCUGAGGCUCGAAAGUGUGGGUAGCAAACAGG